RNAcentral lists this non-coding RNA (31 nucleotides) under Rattus norvegicus (Norway rat). Lineage: Eukaryota; Metazoa; Chordata; Mammalia; Rodentia; Muridae. The record is from RNAcentral.
UGGCUGCUUUCAUAGGGAGCUCAAUAGCUCA